UUGAUGGCGACCGGCCGGCACGGGUGGAGUAACGACGUAUCCAACCUAGCCCUUUACCUUAUGGACGAGCCCGUCGAAAGGCGGAUUAAUACCGUAUGUUGUCAUGUUGAUGCAUAUUUUCAUGACCAAAGGCUUCGGCCGGUAAAGGAUGGGGAUGCGUCUGAUUAGCUUGCCGGCGGGGUAACGGCCCACCGGGGCGACGAUCAGUAGGGGUUCUGAGAGGAAGGUCCCCCACAUUGGAACUGAGACACGGUCCAAACUCCUACGGGAGGCAGCAG
Molecule: ribosomal RNA, 278 nt
Filed under: uncultured bacterium
Lineage: Bacteria
Description: partial 16S ribosomal RNA
Rfam family: Bacterial small subunit ribosomal RNA
Source: RNAcentral